UACGUAGGGGGCUAGCGUUGUCCGGAAUCAUUGGGCGUAAAGCGCGUGUAGGCGGUCCGGUAAGUCCGCUGUGAAAGUCGGGGGCUCAACCCAGGAAGUGCACUCGAAACUGCCGGGCUAGAGUAUCGGAGAGGUUGGUGGAAUUCUCGGCGUAGAGGUGAAAUUCGUAGAUAUCGAGAGGAACACCGGUGGCGAAGGCGGCCAACUGGACGAAUACUGACGCUGAGACACGAAAGCGUGGGGAGCAAACAGG
Molecule: ribosomal RNA, 253 nt
Filed under: uncultured bacterium
Lineage: Bacteria
Description: partial 16S ribosomal RNA
Rfam family: Bacterial small subunit ribosomal RNA
Source: RNAcentral